Molecule: ribosomal RNA, 1373 nt
Filed under: uncultured Tricholomataceae
Lineage: Eukaryota; Fungi; Basidiomycota; Agaricomycetes; Agaricales; Tricholomataceae
Description: eukaryotic LSU rRNA
Rfam family: Eukaryotic large subunit ribosomal RNA (bases 709-1373)
Source: RNAcentral
AAGGAUCAUUAUUGAAUUUCACCUGCUGGGGUUGCUGCUGGUUCCUUUAUUGGUUCAUGUGCACGCCUGGCUUCUGAUCUCUUUCCACCUGUGCACUUUUGUAGGACGUUCUGCGUCUUGGUCGUAUGUCUAUAAUCACAUUCAUUUGUGGAAUGGAGUUUGAAGUUAGCCUUCGAAAGUUGGUCUUCUCUCUCUGGGACUUCGGCUGAGCAGGGAACUGUUCUACGUAUUUUAUACACUCUAUUGAAGUCUAGAAAGUCUUUUAUUGGUCGGAAGGCCUUUAAUCUUAACACAACUAUUGACAACGGAUCUCUUGGCUCACACAUCGAUGAAGAACGCAGCGAAAUGCGAUAAGUAAUGUGAAUUGCAGAUUUCAGUGAAUCAUCGAAUCUUUGAACGCACCUUGCACCUUCUGGUAUUCCGGAAGGUACAUCUGUUUGAGUGUCAUUAAAUUCUCAACCAUUCAGCUUUUGUUAGCUGUCUGGCUUGGAUGUGAGGGUUGCGGGCUGCGUAACAGCGGUCGGCUCUCUUUAAAUGCAUUAGCUGGGGACUAUUACUUGGUUCAAGUGCUUCGAUGUUUGAAGGCCUCCUGGUGUGAUAAUUAUCUACGCUGUUGGCUUAGUCUUUGCGCCUAUUGGAUCUUGGAAUGAACCUGCUUCUAACUGUCUCGCAAGGGACUAGUCCGCUACAGGGCUAUAAUGACUAUUGUGACCUCAAAUCAGAUGGGACUACCCGCUGAACUUAAGCAUAUCAAUAAGCGGAGGAAAAGAAACUAACAAGGAUUCCCCUAGUAACUGCGAGUGAAGAGGGAAAAGCUCAAAUUUGAAAUCUGGCUGUCAUAUGGCAGUCCGAGUUGUAAUUUCGAGAAGUGUUACCCGUGCUGGACCGUGCAUAAGUCUUCUGGAAAGGAGUAUCAUAGAGGGUGACAAUCCCGUCUUUGGUACGGACUCCCAGCACAUUGUGGUAUGCUCUCAACGAGUCGAGUUGUUUGGGAAUGCAGCUCAAAAUGGGUGGUAAAUUCCAUCUAAAGCUAAAUAUUGGUGUGAGACCGAUAGCGAACAAGUACCGUGAGGGAAAGAUGAAAAGAACUUUGGAAAGAGAGUUAAACAGUACGUGAAAUUGUCAAUAGGGAAACGCUUGAAGUCAGUCGCGUUGCUCGGGAAUCAGCCUUCCUUUUGGUUGGUGCACUUCCUGUGUGACGGGUCAGCAUCAGUUUUGGUCGCUGGAAAAAGGCUUGGGGAAUGUGGCUCUUUCGGGAGUGUUAUAGCCCUUUGUCAUAUACAGCGGCUGGGAUUGAGGAACUCAGUACGCCGCAAGGCAGCUCUUCGGAGACUUUCGUACUUAGGAUGCUGGCAUAAUGGCUUUAAGCGACC